GGAAUAUUGUUCAAUGGGUGCGAGCCUGAACCAGCCAUGCCGCGUGCAGGAAGACGGCCUUCUGGGUUUUAAACUGCUUUUGACAGGGGCUAAAAAGCCCAUGCGUUGGAAAUUGCUGGUACCUGUCGAAUAAGCCACUGCUAACUACGUGCCAGCAGCCGCGGUAAUACGUAGGUGGCGAGCGUUGUCCGGAUUUAUUGGGUUUAAAGGGUGCGUAGGCGGCCUUGUAAGUCAGUGCUGAAAUACUCCCGCUCAACGGGAGGGGUGGCAUUGAUACUGCAGGGCUUGAGUACAGAUGAGGUAGGCGGAAUUGACGGUGUAGCGGUGAAAUGCAUAGAUAUCGUCAAGAACACCGAUAGCGAAGGCAGCUUACUAAGUUGUAACUGACGCUGAUGCACGAAAGUGUGGGGAUCA
RNAcentral lists this ribosomal RNA (414 nucleotides) under uncultured bacterium. RNAcentral's name for it is "bacterial SSU rRNA". It matches the Rfam family "Bacterial small subunit ribosomal RNA", at positions 358 to 770 of the family's 1533-position model. The record is from RNAcentral.